AUUGAACGCUGGCGGCAUGCCUAACACAUGCAAGUCGAACGGAAACGAUGGAAGCUUGCUUCCAGGCGUCGAGUGGCGGACGGGUGAGUAAUGCUUAGGAAUCUGCCCAUUAGUGGGGGACAACUCGGGGAAACUCGAGCUAAUACCGCAUACGCCCUACGGGGGAAAGCGGGGGAGUCUUCGGACCUCGCGCUAAUGGAUGAGCCUAAGUCGGAUUAGCUUGUUGGUGGGGUAAAGGCCUACCAAGGCGACGAUCCGUAGCUGGUCUGAGAGGACGAUCAGCCACACUGGGACUGAGACACGGCCCAGACUCCUACGGGAGGCAGCAGUGGGGAAUAUUGGACAAUGGGGGAAACCCUGAUCCAGCAAUGCCGCGUGUGUGAAGAAGGCCUGCGGGUUGUAAAGCACUUUCAGUAGAGAAGAAAAGCCUGCGGUUAAUAACCGCGAGUCUUGACGUAACCUACAGAAGAAGCACCGGCUAACUCCGUGCCAGCAGCCGCGGU
This 503-nucleotide ribosomal RNA is filed under the name uncultured bacterium. RNAcentral's name for it is "bacterial SSU rRNA". It matches the Rfam family "Bacterial small subunit ribosomal RNA", at positions 30 to 521 of the family's 1533-position model. The record is from RNAcentral.